This 253-nucleotide ribosomal RNA is filed under the name uncultured bacterium. Its description in RNAcentral is "partial 16S ribosomal RNA". It matches the Rfam family "Bacterial small subunit ribosomal RNA", at positions 524 to 776 of the family's 1533-position model. The record is from RNAcentral.
UACGUAGGGUGCAAGCGUUAAUCGGAAUUACUGGGCGUAAAGCGUGCGCAGGCGGCUUUGCAAGACAGAUGUGAAAUCCCCGGGCUUAACCUGGGAACUGCAUUUGUGACUGCAUGGCUAGAGUGCGGCAGAGGGGGAUGGAAUUCCGCGUGUAGCAGUGAAAUGCGUAGAUAUGCGGAGGAACACCGAUGGCGAAGGCAAUCCCCUGGGCCUGCACUGACGCUCAUGCACGAAAGCUAGGGGAGCGAACAGG